GAUAUCAGGGUCAAAAGGUCAAAAAGGUCGUUCGUGCUUGCACGAUAAGACUUUUGAACUUGGGACCCGCCAAACAUGAGAAAGUAGCGAUUUACGUAGUAAAUCAGCGGAUUUCGAAUGUUUGAGAAUUGCGGAAAUUGCGUAGCAAUGUAGCAAUUCGGAUACAU
This 167-nucleotide small RNA is filed under the name human gut metagenome. RNAcentral describes it as "Clostridiales-1 RNA". It matches the Rfam family "Clostridiales-1 RNA". The record is from RNAcentral.